GACGAACGCUGGCGGCGUGCUUAACACAUGCAAGUCGAACGAUGAAGAAAAGAAUCGAAGCUUCGGCAGAAAUUCAUUUCGGAUUAGUGGCAGACGGGUGAGUAACUCGUGAGCAACCUACCUCUUACAAAGGGAUAGCCUCGGGAAACCGGGAUUAAUACCAUAUAACAUUGCGACGAAGCAUUACGAUGCAAUCAAAGCUACGGCGGUAAGAGAUGGGCUCGCGUCCCAUUAACCGGAUGGUGAGGUAACGGCUCACCAUAGUGACGAUGGGUAACCGGCCUGAGAGGGUGAACGGUCACACUGGAACUGAGACACGGUCCAGACUCCUACGGGAGGCAGCAGUGGGGAAUAUUGCACAAUGGAGGGAACUCUGAUGCAGCGACGCCGCGUGAGUGAUGAAGGAAUUCGUUUCGUAAAACUCUGUUCUAUGGGAAGAAAAGGACUGUACCAUAGGAGAAAGCUCCGGCUAAAUACGUG
RNAcentral lists this ribosomal RNA (480 nucleotides) under uncultured bacterium. RNAcentral describes it as "partial 16S ribosomal RNA". It matches the Rfam family "Bacterial small subunit ribosomal RNA", at positions 28 to 507 of the family's 1533-position model. The record is from RNAcentral.